RNAcentral lists this ribosomal RNA (468 nucleotides) under uncultured bacterium. Its description in RNAcentral is "partial 16S ribosomal RNA". It matches the Rfam family "Bacterial small subunit ribosomal RNA", at positions 28 to 507 of the family's 1533-position model. The record is from RNAcentral.
GACGAACGCUGGCGGCGUGCUUAACACAUGCAAGUCGAACGGAAAGGCCCUGCUUUUGUGGGGUGCUCGAGUGGCGAACGGGUGAGUAACACGUGAGUAACCUGCCCUUGACUUUGGGAUAACUUCAGGAAACUGGGGCUAAUACCGGAUAGGAGCUCCUGCUGCAUGGUGGGGGUUGGAAAGUUUCGGCGGUUGGGGAUGGACUCACGGCUUAUCAGCUUGUUGGUGGGGUAGUGGCUUACCAAGGCUUUGACGGGUAGCCGGCCUGAGAGGGUGACCGGCCACAUUGGGACUGAGAUACGGCCCAGACUCCUACGGGAGGCAGAAGUGGGGAAUAUUGCACAAUGGGCGGAAGCCUGAUGCAGCAACGCCGCGUGCGGGAUGACGGCCUUCGGGUUGUAAACCGCUUUCGCCUGUGACGAAGCGUGAGUGACGGUAAUGGGUAAAGAAGCACCGGCUAACUACGUG